This 568-nucleotide ribosomal RNA is filed under the name uncultured bacterium. Its description in RNAcentral is "partial 16S ribosomal RNA". It matches the Rfam family "Bacterial small subunit ribosomal RNA", at positions 355 to 915 of the family's 1533-position model. The record is from RNAcentral.
UGGGGAAUCUUCCGCAAUGGACGAAAGUCUGACGGAGCAACGCCGCGUGAGUGAAGAAGGUUUUCGGAUCGUAAAACUCUGUCUUUUGGGGCGAACGUGAGUAUGGUGAACAAUCAUAGUCAGUGACGGUACCAAAGGAGGAAGCCACGGCUAACUACGUGCCAGCAGCCGCGGUAAUACGUAGGUGGCAAGCGUUGUCCGGAAUUAUUGGGCGUAAAGAGCGCGUAGGCGGGAUAGUCAGUCUGUUGUAAAGUGCGGGGCUCAACCCCGUGAUCGCAAUGGAAACAGCUAUUCUUGAGUGCAGGAGAGGAAAGUGGAAUUCCCAGUGUAGCGGUGAAGUGCGUAGAUAUUGGGAGGAACACCAGUGGCGAAGGCGACUUUCUGGACUGUGUCUGACGCUGAGGCGCGAAAGCCAGGGGAGCGAACGGGAUUAGAUACCCCGGUAGUCCUGGCCGUAAACGAUGGGUACUAGGUGUGGGAGGUAUCGACCCCUUCCGUGCGGAGUUAACGCAAUAAGUCCCCGGCCUGGGGAGUACGGUCGCAAGACUGAAACUCAAAUGAAUUGAGC